AUGUUCUUUGUCAAUGGAAGUUUCAUUUUCCCAGAAUGUAUCCUAUUUGGCCUAAUUCUUCUUCUGAUGACCGAUUCAACCUCUGAUAAAAAAGAUAGACCGUGGUUCUAUUUCAUCUCUUCAACAAGUUUAGUAAUAAGCAUAACGGCCCUAUUGUUCCGAUGGAGAGAAGAACCUAUAAAUAGCUUUUGGGGAAAUUUCCAAACGAAUAAUUUCAACAAAAUCUUUCAAAUCUAUGUAUUCAUCUAUCCGUAUAGUACAUUGAAUGUACAAAAAUGGCUAUAA
This 285-nucleotide ribosomal RNA is filed under the name Triticum aestivum (bread wheat). RNAcentral describes it as "partial small subunit ribosomal RNA". The record is from RNAcentral. Lineage: Eukaryota; Viridiplantae; Streptophyta; Magnoliopsida; Poales; Poaceae.